This is a long non-coding RNA of Diprion similis, 1403 nucleotides long. RefSeq lists it as uncharacterized. The transcript is spliced from 2 exons. The record is from RefSeq and is a predicted model, not a curated record. Lineage: Eukaryota; Metazoa; Arthropoda; Insecta; Hymenoptera; Diprionidae.
UAAGUCCACCCGGAUCGUUUAGAGGUAAAGAGUGGCAUAACAUCUGAAUCUUUCACGAUUUGUAAAUACGCAACUGCUUUCUAUAAAUGUCACUAUAUUAUUAUGUUUUCAGUUUUCACCUUGACAAUGAAAGAAUUAUCUGUGAAUCCCAGUUUUUAUACACAGUUCGCAGGCUAGGCAGAUUUUUAGUUUCCAUGCCUCCCAACUUUCUCUUGGACUCCACGUUGUCUCUUCCCCAUUUGAUUCUUUCCUAUCAUAUUUUUUUUAACUCCUAUUCUCCACUAUCAAGUAUCGUUGUUAAUGAUAUUCAAUUCCGCAGCUCGUUUAAGUAGUUUGAAAUAUUACUUAAAUAGGUGUAAUUACCAUUUUAAUUAAUUUUAUGUCCACCGAAGAUCAACAAUUGCACCUAAAACUAAUUUACAUGGUAUGUCUUCAUAUGAAUAUACUUCCAAGAUGUUGCAUUGGAGCUCUAUCCCACAUUGACUUCUUAGUAUUCAACAAUUAAUUGGUGUAAGUAUUAUACGCGAAUCCGAACCAUUUGUUUUUAUGACGACAUUGCAACUAGAGUGUGUUAGCUGGAAUGUACCAAAUUAUCAGUCUCAAACGUAGACUGAUAUCAGAGAUAUUUACAUGCCAGACGUAAUUUCUUCACGUAGUGUCAGCCAAAAAUACCUCCAUGAAGAUACAUAUUACCGAGUCUAAUGAAAGUAAUAAACAAGAGCGGUGGCCUGCUGUAGAAUAAUUUCCAUGUACUGUAUCAAAUUGAAAGAAGGAAAAAAAUAAUUCGUAGGAUUCAAUGAAAAAAAAAUUGGAAAAACUUGUUGAUGUUCAAUGGCACACGAUAUUAUAUGUUCACUGAACAUGUUAGGUCAUUCAUUCACUGAAAGAGUAUUAAAUAAUUUGAUCGGCAAACACUGGAAAAACUGCGUGAUUCGAUUUGGGUUUUGAUUUUUUGUAGAAAUAUAAUACAUACGUAUUAUGUAGGAUAGCAGCAACACCUUGUGAGGAUGUCAGACACGCGUAAUAAUUAUUAAUUUGCGUUUUCUCACCCAUUACUUACUGACGAACGACCCAACUUUGCAGUAGCUAUGUAUAGUUAUCGUAUAAAUACAGUAUAUUAUAUGUAUAUACUUUUACCAAACUUUGACAAAUCAACAAAGAACACCGUACUUACUACUCUCUGCUUUUUCUCGUAAUACAGUAAUAUUUAUACAUAUAUAUGUAUGUAUGUAAGAUAUACAUUAUGUUUAUGUACAUACGCACAUAGGUAUGUAUAAAUCUACACAUGUAUAUAAAAUCACUCGCAGUUACAGAGUUAGGAGGGGUUUGAUUCUGGUAGGUAAAUUCGUGAAAGAUUGUUCAUGAUUAUUUCGUGGUACCUAGGCUUUGCUGUGUGAAUAGAA